AAAAGUGAAUCAGUCACGUGUUGCUGCUGAGUAUGGGGAAGCUCCAACCAUUCAUGAAAUUAAAUCCUGUCAUUCAAGUUCCACAUCUCACGCCAGCUACUCUCUGAUGCUUUCCCCAACUUCUUCAGCAGCAGGACAAUCAAUGUCUACACCAAAGAAGCAUUCCUGAUUACCCUGAAUAAUGUGCAUAAUUCAAGACUAAUUUUCCCAUGUGAACCAAAGAGAUGACAAGUACUUCUACUUAUCAGUUAAAGUGGGACUACCACAUGGUAAUAACAUAAAGAGAAUUUAUAAUUUACUUCAUCUUCAUACCUUGAAAAUAUGUAAUGGCUAACAAAUUUUAAACAUUAUGAGAGAGAUAUCUUAUUUUGAAAACUAUGCAUAAAAAGACGCUUGGAAUACCUCUGUUUGUUCAUAACCAGCUGAGCUAUGAUCUAACUGAAGAAUAUUCAGGAUUAUAAGCAUAAGAGACCGCGGUCCCAGCUGCUCUCCUUGCUUCCUGUUGUAAAGACUAAGUAAGCAAACAAGCGAAUAAAUUUAUGAAUGAAUCUACACAGACUGAAGAAAACGGAGGAAUUUUAGAGGAAAGACCUGAAAAGGAAUCCAAAUACAUCUCAAGAAAUUUAAAAAUUUCUGUCUUUACUGAAUGUUUACCUUCAAGAAUUUACAAAAAAGAACAUACAAAAUAUAUUAGUGGGACUGUAGAAAGAGGACAAUGCGUUAAUCAUGAAGAUGUGAGAUAAAUAAAAUAGUGGCUGUUUUCUACUCUGAACAAAAGCCUUACUAUUUUAAAGGCAAAGUAUUUGCCCUUAACUUCUACUCUAAGAACAAGGAGACAACUUUCACAGAGACUCACAGAUUCAAAGAGCGUGAAGAUACAUAAUGAAUCGCUAUGGAAUCAGAAUUAGGAGAUCAAGAAGAUUGUUCUCCUAAUUUCCUCACAGGAUGCAGCUCACUUUCUGAUUUCUUUGGGUGCUGCUUACCUUCCGCAUGGCAUCUGUAAUUUUUCUUCGAUAAAGUGAAAUGAAC
Molecule: long non-coding RNA, 1029 nt
Filed under: Equus caballus (horse)
Lineage: Eukaryota; Metazoa; Chordata; Mammalia; Perissodactyla; Equidae
Description: lncRNA (ENSECAG00000040370.3)
Source: RNAcentral